Benincasa hispida (wax gourd) is the source of this 2178-nucleotide non-coding RNA. The record is from RefSeq and is a predicted model, not a curated record. NCBI's taxonomy places the organism in Eukaryota, Viridiplantae, Streptophyta, Magnoliopsida, Cucurbitales, Cucurbitaceae.
AAAACAAGAAAGAACCAAAAGAAAAUGGUUUCUUAGAACAGAGGGUGGGAGGGAAAUGAAAAACUGCUCCACUAGCAAUUAGUGUUGGUUUUGAAUGAAACGACAUCGUUUUAGACCAGAUUUCCGUUUCAAUUUUUCUUGCUGAUUAGUAAAGCGCUCCCUUCAGAAACCGACAGCAAAGAAUUGAUAACUGAACGAAGAAAAAGAUAGAAUGCAAUAAAAAAAAUCAGCAGAAUUUGGAAGACUGACACCUCCUUUCUACAGUCUCCUUCUCACCCAGAUGCGUCAUCUUCUUCCUUUGGUUGCAGAUUUUUUCUCCCUGGAUUUUGAAUCUUUUCAAGCCUUGCUUUUGACCCAGAUCCUGUAAUUGAUUCUGUUUAUUUUCCAAGAUAUAGGAUUUUGAUGGCAGCAGCAGAAGCAAGGGCUGCUUUUCAGAGGACAGUUAAUCGUUGCUUUGUCCAAGAAGAUGCCAAAAGAGCUCCCAGAUUAGCUUGCUGCCAAUCAUCAUCUUCAACAUCCAAACAGGUUGAUUCUGGACCUGCGAAUGCAGCAGCAGAUGGGCCUGAUCAACCUUCGAUUGGUUUUAUGCCUUUUAGCAGAGCUUCCUCAUAUUCAAAUCUGCUUCCUGACACAAAAUGGUGGCUUCAGACGCAAUCUAGUUAUGGAUACCAAAAGAUUUUCACCCCAGAACACGUUAAUGCUUUAGAGGCUGGCAAUGAAACUUCAAAAUCUGCUACUGAAAAAUCAUGUACUUCAAGUGAUAUUCAUCGACCUGAAGGUGGCAAUACUGUCUGUGAAAUUGAUGGUUUUAGCAGGUCUUCUCUAGAUACUGAUCAUGGUGUCUCUGCUCUUUGUACAAAGAGAGUGAAUAGCAUUUUGAAUGAAGACAUAAAAACCUUGGAUGGUACGGAUUCUCAAGAAUGUGUCGGUAGUACAGAUAUGAAAGCAGAAUUUGAAUGUUUAGAUAAGGAUUCUUUCAACAGCAAAACAGUUUCCAAAAAUCAAGACGAGUUUUACUUCGAUCCAGAUUCUCCUUGGAUUCAAGAGGACAAGGCUGAGCCAUGGUGGUGGAUAACAGAUAAAGAUGAAUUGGCCUAUUGGGUUGCGCAGAAAUCUCUUGAUCAUAUCGAGAAUUGCGAUCUUCCGCCUCCUAAAAAAACUUGCUUGAACUUUACGAGAUACCCUUAUGCUCAAAAACAAUGCUAUGAACAUGAUAUAAAUUUGGUAUCUACCUUCGAGUCAACCCAUCGAAAUUGUGGAUUGGAUUUUUGUCGUUUUGGCAAAACACAGAGAGACCUGGGUGAAUCAAUUGAACAAGGAAACAUGCUGCGUGGAUCUCUUAGAUCUUCAAGCUGUACAAAUCCCAGCAACUUGACAAAAACAACACUAAUUUCUGAGGAUAAUACUAGCAAAGCUGAACUAAUGGAUGCACUGCUACAUUCUCAAACCCGUGCAAGGGAAGCCGAGAUUGCAGCAAAGCGAGCUUAUGCUGAGAAGGAGCACAUAGUUGAUCUUUUCUUCAGACAAGCAUCCCAACUCUUUGCAUAUAAGCAAUGGUUUCAACUGCUGCAGCUAGAAAGCCUGCAGAUAAAGAACAACGAUCAGCCCAUGUCGACUCUUUUUCCUUUGGUUCUUCCAUGGAUGUCCUACAAGAAUAUGGUAUCUCAUAAGCGAUGGCAGAGAUUCAGUAGGCAGAAAAGAGUCAAGCGGGAUCGGCAUAGAAGUGAUAUUUCUACUUAUGCUGUUGCUUUUGCUCUAGGAUUGAGCCUGGUCAGUGCAGGUUUGCUUCUGGGGUGGACUGUAGGGUGGAUGCUUCCUUCAUUCUAGGCUUAGUUUGAAUGAACUUCUCUUGGAAGAAAAGAUCAAUUGACAAGGGAAGGAAAGACUCUUCACAGAAAGCUUGGAACUGUCAUUGCAGCACAUGACAGAAUCAAAGAGAACAGUGGAAGGUAGGGAUUUAAACUUAUAAUCACAAUAAUAUUAAUGGUUUCAUUUAUUGUAUCCUCGUUCUUUUGUUAUUUUUAUGGACCCUAUAGGUAAUAUGAUGUUGUAUUUUGAAUUUUUUAAAAAGAAUUUAAUAAGAAAAUCGUUCAUUGUUAGGAUUUUAUACAUUUGUUCUAAGAAGAAGAAGAAAAAAAAAAAAACAAAACAAAAAAAACAAAACAAAAAAAAAAAAAA